Molecule: small nuclear RNA, 117 nt
Filed under: Gigantopelta aegis
Lineage: Eukaryota; Metazoa; Mollusca; Gastropoda; Neomphalida; Peltospiridae
Description: U5 spliceosomal RNA
Rfam family: U5 spliceosomal RNA
About the family: U5 RNA is a component of both types of known spliceosome. The precise function of this molecule is unknown, though it is known that the 5' loop is required for splice site selection and p220 binding, and that both the 3' stem-loop and the Sm site are important for Sm protein binding and cap methylation.
Source: RNAcentral
CAACUCUGGUCUCUCUUCACAGAAUAAAUCUUUCGCCUUUUACUAAAGAUUUCCGUGGAGAGGGACAACUCAAUGAGUCUAUAGACUUAUUUUUUUAAAACCCUACUCUUGUAGGGC